This 468-nucleotide ribosomal RNA is filed under the name uncultured bacterium. RNAcentral describes it as "partial 16S ribosomal RNA". It matches the Rfam family "Bacterial small subunit ribosomal RNA", at positions 28 to 507 of the family's 1533-position model. The record is from RNAcentral.
GAUGAACGCUGGCGGCGUGCUUAACACAUGCAAGUCGAACGGUGAAGGCGGAGCUUGCUCUGCUGGAUCAGUGGCGAACGGGUGAGUAACACGUGAGCAAUCUGCCCCUGACUCUGGGAUAAGCGCUGGAAACGGCGUCUAAUACUGGAUACGAGCUGCGAAGGCAUCUUCAGCAGCUGGAAAGAAUUUCGGUCAGGGAUGAGCUCGCGGCCUAUCAGCUUGUUGGUGAGGUAAUGGCUCACCAAGGCGUCGACGGGUAGCCGGCCUGAGAGGGUGACCGGCCACACUGGGACUGAGACACGGCCCAGACUCCUACGGGAGGCAGCAGUGGGGAAUAUUGCACAAUGGGCGAAAGCCUGAUGCAGCAACGCCGCGUGAGGGACGACGGCCUUCGGGUUGUAAACCUCUUUUAGCAGGGAAGUAGCGAAAGUGACGGUACCUGCAGAAAAAGCGCCGGCUAACUACGUG